This 228-nucleotide non-coding RNA is filed under the name Platyophrya macrostoma. Lineage: Eukaryota; Ciliophora; Colpodea; Cyrtolophosidida; Platyophryidae. The record is from RNAcentral.
AAGAGUGUGAGAAAAAAAAGAAAAAUAAAAAGGAAUAAUUGUGUUCCUUUUCUUUCUUCCACCUCUUUUUUUCAACAUCUCUCAACUUUCUUUGUCUUCUACCCGAUUUCAUUCGAAAAUAAAUAAAAAAAUGAAGGAGGGGUGUGGUGCGAACACACAACAAAAAAAGGAAUCACACAUCCAUCGCAUUCCACCGUCACAAUGAAUGGUCUUCUUCUCUCUCUUCUU